Molecule: long non-coding RNA, 1118 nt
Filed under: Citrus maxima (pomelo)
Lineage: Eukaryota; Viridiplantae; Streptophyta; Magnoliopsida; Sapindales; Rutaceae
Description: long non-coding RNA (CMAX_LNC003239)
Source: RNAcentral
UACCAUUAUAACUUUUUAAAUUACAACUAUUCAACAUCAAUUACAAACGCACCAUAACUUUACUUAUUCGCAAGUUCAAUGGGUACCGUUUUGAGGUUCAAACUCCCCAAAGUCAAUCAAAUAAAAAAGAAUGAGAAGAGAAAUUUUUAAAUAAUAAUUAACAGGGAGAAUCGAUUGCACAUCUUUCAAUGUCGUUGUUUGAUGGCGAUUGGCGAAGGAGGGCACAAGAGGAGAUAUGAGUAGGAUUUUAGGCGGGGCCUACUUUUGCCCCAAAUAUCAAGUGAAGCUCGUGCCAACCAUAAACUAUGAAGCACCACUCCCCAUAUAGUCAAAACUCACGCAAAAUUUUGAUUCAAUUAAAGCCUGCAAAUUCCAGCAGGAGCCGAGACCCAUCUAUAUCUGUCUGUAUCUGGGGUUGUUUAAUUGGUUCAAACUUCAAAGCAAAAGGUUAGAAUUUGUAAAAUAAAUCAUGCUAAAUGAUUUAGUGUUAUUUAUUUUUUGACCAUUUGCAUUACGUGGGUUGUCUUCCGAGAUGCUCUGCCUUUGCUGCUUUGCUGACUCCUGAAGUAAGUAAGAUUGGCUCAACUGGAAAAAAGAUACAGAUAGGAUUAAUGUAAGGCGAUGUUUGUCUGGUUCCGGAAAAGUUUAAAAACUACAAAGUGAAGGAACAUGCAACAAAUUGGACGCAUGGGGGGGGGUGGGGGACGGGGGGGACCUUUACCUUUCAAAAUCUCAAUUCAAGGAUUGCAACCAACCACUAGUGGCUUUGCCUUCGAAAGCGAUUUUUGUUUGAUGAAUCUGCUUUUGCCCUUAACGGCGCUAGUGUAGCUGCAGGCUAGGCACUAGCUAGGCAGCACAUGCAACCCCUUUGGCUCCAUUCCUGCAAUUCAAAACCUACUUGCCAUCUACUACAUAAUUAUGAGAAUUCAAUUGACUGCUUGAAUCCAAUCGUAACUUCAGAAAUGGUAGGCUAUGCUAUACAUCUCCUGCUUCGGAAACAAACAUCUAAACUUACUUUGUUGUUCGUGAAUUCCAUAUGGUGAUAUUAUUAUAUUAAUCAGCUUUAGACGGACAGAAUUCACUCACGGAACGGAAAGGAGAGACGCGCUUACAGCUAU